This 918-nucleotide unclassified non-coding RNA is filed under the name Hexagrammos octogrammus (masked greenling). Its description in RNAcentral is "partial contains 12S ribosomal RNA, tRNA-Val, and 16S ribosomal RNA". The stretch from base 453 to 918 matches the Rfam family "Bacterial large subunit ribosomal RNA", at positions 1 to 1069 of the family's 2925-position model. The record is from RNAcentral. Lineage: Eukaryota; Metazoa; Chordata; Actinopteri; Perciformes; Hexagrammidae.
CCUAAAACGUCAGGUCGAGGUGUAGCGUAUGGAAGGGGAAGAAAUGGGCUACAUUCGCUACUACAGCGAAUACGGAGGGUGUACUGAAACGUACACCUGAAGGAGGAUUUAGCAGUAAGCAGGAAAUAGAGCGUCCCGCUGAAAUCGGCCCUGAAGCGCGCACACACCGCCCGUCACUCUCCCCGAAAACACCCACUCAGUUAAUUAAAACCUAAUAAUCAUAGAGGGGAGGCAAGUCGUAACAUGGUAAGUGUACCGGAAGGUGCACUUGGAAAAAUCAGAGCGUGGCUAAGAUAGAAAAGCAUCUCCCUUACACUGAGAAGUCACCCGUGCAAGUCGGGUCGCCCUGAUGCCUAACAGCUAGCCCACCCAAACAAUUUCAACAAACCCCUGUUAAUAACCCCUAAGUACCCCAGUAUUUAUUUUAAACAAACCAUUUUUCCCCCCUAGUAUAGGCGAUAGAAAAGGGCCCACGGCGCAAUAGAGAAAGUACCGCAAGGGAACGCUGAAAGAGAAGUGAAACAACCCAGUAAAGCCUAAAAAAGCAGAGAUCUAAACUCGUACCUUUUGCAUCAUGAUUUAGCAAGUGUAACCCAAGCAAAGCGUACUUUAGUUUGACGUCCCGAAACUAGGUGAGCUACUCCAAGACAGCCUAUCAAUAGGGCGUACCCGUCUCUGUGGCAAAAGAGUGGGGAGAGCUUUGAGUAGAGGUGACAAACCUACCGAACCUAGUUAUAGCUGGUUGUCCAAGAAAUGAAUAGAAGUUCAGCCUUUCAGCUUCUCUUUUCACCUUAGUCUGACCCCUAUUGAUGCAUUAAAGAAACCGAAAGAGUUAGUCAAAGGGGGUACAGCCCCUUUGAAUCAAGACACAACUUUACCAGGAGGGUAAAGAUCAUAAUAAUUAAAGCUAAAUGUUUA